GACAGAGGUCCCGAGCGUUAGGCGGAAUCACUGGGCUUAAAGCGUGUGUAGGCGGAUUUGUAAGUACCUUGUGAAAUCCCACAGCUUAACUGUGGAACUGCUUGGUAUACUGCUUAUCUUGGGCCACUUAGGGGUUACCGGAACAAACGGUGGAGCGGUGAAAUGCGUAGAUAUCGGAAGGAACACCAGUGGCGAAAGCGGCUACCUGGCCUAAUACUGACACUGAGGCACGAAAGCGUGGGGAGCAAACAGG
RNAcentral lists this ribosomal RNA (253 nucleotides) under uncultured bacterium. Its description in RNAcentral is "partial 16S ribosomal RNA". It matches the Rfam family "Bacterial small subunit ribosomal RNA", at positions 524 to 776 of the family's 1533-position model. The record is from RNAcentral.